Molecule: transfer RNA, 69 nt
Filed under: Marmota monax (woodchuck)
Lineage: Eukaryota; Metazoa; Chordata; Mammalia; Rodentia; Sciuridae
Description: tRNA.Ala
Source: RNAcentral
GUUGUGGGGCUCAGUGGUGAGUGCUUGCCUAGCAUGUGUGAGGCACUGGGUUCGAUCCCUGGCACCACA